This is a long non-coding RNA of Saccostrea cuccullata (small rock oyster), 1052 nucleotides long. RefSeq lists it as uncharacterized. The transcript has 4 exons. NCBI's taxonomy places the organism in Eukaryota, Metazoa, Mollusca, Bivalvia, Ostreida, Ostreidae. The record is from RefSeq and is a predicted model, not a curated record.
UCCGGGGUACCUAACACGUGGAGUUGUGUCAUUGAGUUCAGCAUGUUUCUGGUUUACGCAAAGCUUUCGGGGGAAAGUAAAAUAGUUUUACAAAGCGGAAUGGUUUAUCGACUUACGAUGUAAUAAAAACUUGUCCACCAGGAAAAUUUCAAUCGAAGUACAGAAUUUUCUCGAAUCCGAGGACAAUAAUGUUUUCAUCAGCUGAUUGUAGAGGAGGAGUUUUGUCAGUGUUCGAUGGGUACUACUACUAACGUCAUAUUGUGGCUGCAUCACUUUUGUUUGGGUGUCUGCACAUCCUGCAAUCCUAAGACAAUACUGGAUGGUUUUGAUUAAGAACUGAUCCAGCUUGAAGACCAGCCAUGUGCCUCACCUGUCAUGACAUUAUUUAGUACUUUGUGACAGUGGGAAGAUAGAAUUUAAAAAAUGGACAUGGCUCUAUAUUACUGCAUCAGAGAUCAAUCCAGGUUUACUUAUAAUUUGAAGAAAAAUAGUCAAGCAUCAUUUGGAGCUAUGUCACCGCCUUAAUAAUAUGCCGGCUUAUAUAACCAACCAAGCACAGUGACCAGUUGUACCUAUGAUGUUGGGAGAGAUCCUGAAAAACCUUCCAGUACAUUCAUCACUACCUGCAAAGAAAUAAAAAUUCAAAUGACUUGUAUCAACACUUUUGUACUUCAUCUGGCUUGUAUUUUCAUUAAUCAUUAGCCUUUAGCUUCCUUCAAACAAAAUUGCAUAAUUAAGUACUUACUUGCAGGUGUAAAAUGUUCGAAACAGUUUGCUUGUCCCAAAGGAAAUUCUCUGCCAAUUAGCUGUGCCAUGAGCAGCUGAUUGAUGUCACAGUUCCACCGGCAAAGUAUUUGUAGCUGAAUGGUGCCAUAUAAAACACUUUUAACAAGAACCUGGAAACAUCCUGGAAGUGAGCAUCUACAAGAAAUUAAGUGAAUGCUUUCUUGAAUGUUAACAAUGUUAUAAAAUGCUUGUGUACAUCCUAUAUAUAUACAACAAAUUACACAUGUAACAACCAAAUACACAAAAAUUAAACUUCCUUAAAUUUG